CUUCACUUUGAGGGUUAAGCAGGAACUCCCUGUACUGUCACAUACAGUCUCUUUUAUUCCCAAUCCACAAACAUAGUACAGCCCACAGGGCGUUACAAAACAACCAAUCAAUCCAUACAAUACACCCAGACACUCCCACACAAACUCCUCCCCUCUGCCUGUGAUAUGAUUACUGAACACAAUGGGUAAUCUCAUUAUCACCGGCAGAGGAAUACAGUUUUUACACAAUAUUUAUAACUUCUAAAAUAUACAUGUCACAAACAUAAAACAUAAAUUUUCAUAAUCAAUCCAUUCAGGGGAACAACAUAUUAAAAAAUGGCACGAAUCAGACCAGGGGUUCAAAAGUUAAGGGAAAGUCCUUUGUGACUAAAUGAAGCAUGGCUUCCCGGCCCAAACCAGUUUCAGAGUCUUCUAUCCUGGAGAUAAUUGAGAGUAAUUCAAUUAUCUCCCAGGACAGACACAAGACUCCAUUAAGCACAUGGUUGCAAAAAGACACAAAACACUUUAAAAUACAUAAAGUCACCUUUUACACAUAAGACAUAGACAUUUCACAUAUCCCCAGAUAGCUGGGAUCUGAGCGCACAAAACUACCGAAUAGCACUCAGAUCCUAUUCACACAGUUCAAUUGCCAUGGAGCCGAAGUCUUUAACUACACGAAUGGGCUACAUGGCAUAGCUAUCUGGGUUAACACAUUCACAUAAAGUCUGGUCCAUAGUCCAAAGGCAAGAGGCGGGCAAGCAGCCCCCUCCAAGGACACGUGGCGAGGCCGGUUUCGCCACAAAG
Molecule: non-coding RNA, 783 nt
Organism: Pelobates cultripes (western spadefoot toad)
Lineage: Eukaryota; Metazoa; Chordata; Amphibia; Anura; Pelobatidae
Source: the annotation of a GenBank genome assembly